CUUGUAACUCAAACGCCCAAAAGGAAAAAUCUUUCAUCCAGGCAAUCAGACAAUGGAUUCACUCAUAAUAAAUUGCCCAAGAAUAUCCUGAACUUUUGUACCAUGGGCAAUUAAUCUAAGCCAUCAAAGCUGCUGUAAAGGGAAAAAGUAAAAAUCAUUGAGGUCGUGACACAAAGCCUUUUUUGCCCUCCCUCCCUUUUCAAAGGCCAAGGCUCCACCGACUUGCUGUCGGCCAAUAUCAUCGCAAGACGAAAAGAAAAAAUAUGAAAUUUUCUGUGGCUAAACGCUUUUCCUGUCGUUCUCGCUCUCCGUAAGAAAUUAUUAAAAUGCCCUUUGUGCGGGUUCCCCUGACUUGUGCAGGCGCGUCCGCAGUUAUUUGCGGCAUAAUCGUAGAAAAGGAGCGUUGCAGAUCAGUUGGUCGUCGAUGUUUGCUAGCAGCGAUCGUUCCAUUCUGUUCUGUCGAUGCCGCUGCCCAAGGCCUGGUCUUCCACUGACCUUGCCUUCUCCGGCGAGCGUCUCGGCCCGAGGUGGCGCAUGGAUUGACUGAUAACCGACGUUCAACGGCUACCCGUGAGUCAGACGAAAGCGGAAAGUAAUACAGGAGAAAGUGGACUCAAUCCCUUGGCCCGCCGGUGUAUAAGUUUAGGAUCGAAUCGCCAGAGAAGAUACAAUUGUCGGCGCAGCUGGAAACAGGUGGCUCGUUGCUCUCAGUCCCCAACUACAGCUGUCACAAAAAACGACGCUAUUUGGCGGCACAGCAUUAUUCAUGGAAGAAUAUGACUUUCAUGGUCCGCCCAAGAAUACUGAUUAUCUAAUAUUAUAAGCAUUUGGAAGCCAACUCACGCAACUGUAAAGCAUGAUUACAGAUUGGCCAUUCUCUCAGCACAACCAUCGAUUAUAUAUAUUCAGAUCUGCUGUAUGUUUCAGACGCUUGAGAUUGGCCAUUCUCUCAGCACAUCCAUCCAUUAUAUAUGCAGCACUGCGGGAUGUUACAAACACUUGAGAGAGAAUGUGCAUGCAGAAGAUGAUAGCUAUUGUCACAAGUUCCAGUCUAAAGCUUCUCCCUGAAUUGAUGCAAGAUCUUUCCACGAGAGAGUCACUUUCCGUUUUAAGCUCCUCCUACACGCUCCUCCUAGAUCGGGCUGAUUAUCCUUCCGGAUUUGGCCCCUUGGUACACGUGGUGCUUCUACCUUCCGAGUUUAGACCCUUCCUAACUUCUCGCCAAUCAAUUUGAAAACUUCCCCACUUGGACGUGAGAGGCCUUCCAAAAUUAACGAGGGCAGUUGUAACUCCUUGCCCGGAUUUGGCAACUUCCUCCUCCUCACGUUAAUGCACCUUUCUAUUUGACGGCG
Long non-coding RNA from Nymphaea colorata (pocket water lily), 1352 nucleotides. RefSeq lists it as uncharacterized. The record is from RefSeq and is a predicted model, not a curated record. NCBI's taxonomy places the organism in Eukaryota, Viridiplantae, Streptophyta, Magnoliopsida, Nymphaeales, Nymphaeaceae. The transcript is spliced from 3 exons.